RNAcentral lists this ribosomal RNA (253 nucleotides) under uncultured bacterium. RNAcentral's name for it is "partial 16S ribosomal RNA". It matches the Rfam family "Bacterial small subunit ribosomal RNA", at positions 524 to 776 of the family's 1533-position model. The record is from RNAcentral.
UACAGAGGUCUCAAGCGUUGUUCGGAUUCAUUGGGCGUAAAGGGUGCGUAGGUGGCGCGGUAAGUCGGGUGUGAAAUUUCGGAGCUUAACUCCGAAACUGCAUUCGAUACUGCCGUGCUUGAGGACUGGAGAGGAGACUGGAAUUUACGGUGUAGCAGUGAAAUGCGUAGAGAUCGUAAGGAAGACCAGUGGCGAAGGCGGGUCUCUGGACAGUUCCUGACACUGAGGCACGAAGGCCAGGGGAGCAAACGGG